CCUACGGGUGGCAGCAGUGGGGAAUAUUGGGCAAUGGGCGAAAGCCUGAACCAGCAACGCCGCGUGAAGGAAGAAGGCUUUCGGGUUGUAAACUCCUUUUGACAGGGAAGAGCAGAAGACGGUACCUGUCGAAUAAGCAACGGCUAACUACGUGACAGCAGCCGCGGUAAUACGUAGGGGGCAAGUGUUGUCCGGAUUUACUGGGUGUAAAGGGCGUGUAGCCGGGCUGACAAGUCCGAUGUGAAAUCCGGGGGCUCAACCCCCGAACUGCCUUUGAAACGGUUGGUCUUGAGUAUCGGAGAGGCAGGCGGAAUGCCUGGUGGAGCGGUGAAAUGCGUAGAUAUUAGGAGGAACACCAGUGGCGAAGGCGGCCUGCUGGACGACAACUGACGGUGAUGCGCGAAAGCGUGGGGAGCAAACAGGAUUAGAUACCCGGGUAGUC
Molecule: ribosomal RNA, 442 nt
Filed under: uncultured bacterium
Lineage: Bacteria
Description: partial 16S ribosomal RNA
Rfam family: Bacterial small subunit ribosomal RNA
Source: RNAcentral